Molecule: ribosomal RNA, 465 nt
Filed under: uncultured Klebsiella sp.
Lineage: Bacteria; Pseudomonadati; Pseudomonadota; Gammaproteobacteria; Enterobacterales; Enterobacteriaceae
Description: bacterial SSU rRNA
Rfam family: Bacterial small subunit ribosomal RNA
Source: RNAcentral
CCUACGGGGGGCUGCAGUGGGGAAUAUUGCACAAUGGGCGCAAGCCUGAUGCAGCCAUGCCGCGUGUGUGAAGAAGGCCUUCGGGUUGUAAAGCACUUUCAGCGGGGAGGAAGGCGUUAAGGUUAAUAACCUUGGCGAUUGACGUUACCCGCAGAAGAAGCACCGGCUAACUCCGUGCCAGCAGCCGCGGUAAUACGGAGGGUGCAAGCGUUAAUCGGAAUUACUGGGCGUAAAGCGCACGCAGGCGGUCUGUCAAGUCGGAUGUGAAAUCCCCGGGCUCAACCUGGGAACUGCAUUCGAAACUGGCAGGCUAGAGCCUUGUAGAGGAGGGUAGAAUUCCAGGUGUAGCGGUGAAAUGCGUAGAGAUCUGGAGGAAUACCGGUGGCGAAGGCGGCCCCCUGGACAAAGACUGACGCUCAGGUGCGAAAGCGUGGGGAGCAAACAGGAUUAGAUACCCCAGUAGUC